Molecule: transfer RNA, 73 nt
Filed under: Chloroflexota bacterium
Lineage: Bacteria; Bacillati; Chloroflexota
Description: Chloroflexi bacterium tRNA-Lys
Rfam family: tRNA
About the family: Transfer RNA (tRNA) molecules are approximately 80 nucleotides in length.
Source: RNAcentral
GGGCGUGUAGCUCAAUUGGCAGAGCUGUGGCCAUUUAAGCCAUAGGUUGGGGGUUCGAGUCCCUCCACGCUCA